Molecule: long non-coding RNA, 1196 nt
Organism: Cottoperca gobio
Lineage: Eukaryota; Metazoa; Chordata; Actinopteri; Perciformes; Bovichtidae
Exons: 3
Source: RefSeq, a predicted model, not a curated record
GUUUCCUGCAAUAGAAAGUGAGAGAGAAGGUGAAGGGAGAAAAUACAGAGCUGUACCCCCCCUCCUCCUCCUUACACUAAAAGGUGUGUUACAACCCUGCACCUAUGUACCCAGACUGUGGCUCAGGAGUCAACUCCUCUCAAGGUCCAACGUUAGAGUUUCCCCAAGAUGCACCUGUGAACUGAGGGCGGAAAAGAUGCCUCGCACCAAGCAGAACAACCCGAAAAACUUAAAGGACACAGUUCAUCAUCUCUCCUGCACUCGAGGCUUUUCCUUCAUCAGACAGGAAAUGAUGAUUGCGUGGCAUGCCAUCACAUGCUUAAACUCUGCUGCGGAGAAUGUCUUUUCCUGGGAACUCUCGUCAUGCUGCCCUGAAGCCAUCACAUUAUGAUUCUGAAUGCCCAAGACUGACUUUAAAAAAACUCUGCGCUUGAAGCUAAAUAAGCCUUUUCCACAGUAUUUGCUUUGUUUCAUAACAAAGCAGUAAUUAAUCCCAGCACAGAGGCACUCGUGGUAUGUACUUCAGUAUACAGAGUUUUGGCUGGAUGUUGGGAAGCCUCGGCUCUUCUCGGGUCAUCCCUGCCUCCGAGGCUUGGCAGCAGAGUGACUCUGGUAGAAAAGAAACCACAUUAACAUUUUCCCUCUCGGUCAUAUGAAAUCUGACUCGACAAACUUUGUUCUGUCGGGGGACACAAAUAAUUAAUUGUUAUAUUAACAGCACUCAGCCGGGUCGGGACGGUGUAAUCUAAGUUAUAUUUCAGGCCCUAGUUUGUUGCUCUGUUGUAUUGAACUACAUUAUACAAAGGGAACAUAUUUAAAACUAUUUCUUAAGUUUGUCAAAGUAAAAUGAUAUUUUAUAAAUUAGUUUAGUUGUUUUUAUUAUUUUCUUAAGUUGAUUGCAGGUCUAUUGUAUCAGCACACAGCUUCUUAACCUCUCUGCAACAUUUUUGCCUCCACAGUGAAUGUAAUAAUCUCAGUUUUGGCUACAACCAACAGUUAUCGAUGCAUCAAUUUAUUGUUUUCGUCUAUACAAUGUCAGACAAUAGAGAAAAGUAUUUGCUUAUAAUUGCCCACAGCCCAUCGUGAUGUAUUAAAUGUUUUGUUUUGUCCGACCAACGGUCCAAAACCCAAAUAUAUUCAGUUUACUGUCAUACAAGACUAAAAAAACAGCAUAUUUUCACAUUUUCACAUUUUCA